Ectothiorhodospira sp. PHS-1 is the source of this 73-nucleotide non-coding RNA. Lineage: Bacteria; Pseudomonadati; Pseudomonadota; Gammaproteobacteria; Chromatiales; Ectothiorhodospiraceae. The record is from Rfam.
GGCCAGGUAGCUCAGUUGGUAGAGCAGGGGAUUGAAAAUCCCCGUGUCGGCGGUUCGAUUCCGUCCCUGGCCA